This 403-nucleotide ribosomal RNA is filed under the name uncultured bacterium. RNAcentral describes it as "partial 16S ribosomal RNA". It matches the Rfam family "Bacterial small subunit ribosomal RNA", at positions 28 to 526 of the family's 1533-position model. The record is from RNAcentral.
GACGAACGCUGGCGGCGUGCCUAAUACAUGCAAGUCGAACGCAGUGGGGACGGGUGAGUAACACGUGGGUAACCUCCCAUCAGAGGGGAUAACACUUGGAAACAGGUGCUAAACCGAUACUGAUGGAUGGACCCGCGGUGCAUUAGCUAGUUGGCGGGGUAACGGCUCACCAAGGCCACGAUGCAUUGCCGACUUGAAAGGGUGAGCGGCCACACUGGGACUGGGGAACGUCCCGGACUCCUCCGGGAGGCAGCAGUAGGGAAGCUUCGGCAAGGUACGAAAGUCUAACCGAGCAAAGCCGCGUAAGUGAAGAAGGUUUUCGGAUCGUAAAACUCUGUUGGUAGAGAAGCGGUAUCUAACCAGAAAGCCACGGCUAACUACGUGCCAGCAGCCGCGGUAAUAC